Molecule: ribosomal RNA, 465 nt
Filed under: Vreelandella stevensii
Lineage: Bacteria; Pseudomonadati; Pseudomonadota; Gammaproteobacteria; Oceanospirillales; Halomonadaceae
Description: partial 16S ribosomal RNA
Rfam family: Bacterial small subunit ribosomal RNA
Source: RNAcentral
CCUACGGGUGGCUGCAGUGGGGAAUAUUGGACAAUGGGGGGAACCCUGAUCCAGCCAUGCCGCGUGUGUGAAGAAGGCCCUCGGGUUGUAAAGCACUUUCAGUGAGGAAGAACGCCUGGUGGUUAAUACCCAUCAGGAAAGACAUCACUCACAGAAGAAGCACCGGCUAACUCCGUGCCAGCAGCCGCGGUAAUACGGAGGGUGCGAGCAUUAAUCGGAAUUACUGGGCGUAAAGCGCGCGUAGGUGGCUUGAUAAGCCGGUUGUGAAAGCCCCGGGCUCAACCUGGGAACGGCAUCCGGAACUGUCAAGCUAGAGUGCAGGAGAGGAAGGUAGAAUUCCCGGUGUAGCGGUGAAAUGCGUAGAGAUCGGGAGGAAUACCAGUGGCGAAGGCGGCCUUCUGGACUGACACUGACACUGAGGUGCGAAAGCGUGGGUAGCAAACAGGAUUAGAUACCCUGGUAGUC